GAGAUAUAGACAGAGAGUAUGACUUUUUUGCUUCAGCUUUUUACACGACACAUUCUCGAUCCGAACUCGGCGUUCUUCUCAGCGGCAGAGACACGAACACCGAACAAAACCAGACCCAGAACAAAGUCGAAGAGGAUCAAGAGAAGUUGUUUGGAGACCUCGAGUUCGCCACUGUUUGUGUUGUUUGGAGCUGCAGAGAAUCUGAGAAAUGGAGUCAUUCGGCGCGGCGGACGCCGAAGCCGAAGAGUACCCCCACGACCCCGACUCGCAGGCCCACCACCACUCGAGCCCUUUCCACGACAACGCCUUCAAGGGCUACGACCCCGCCGACGACGCUCCCCCUCCCUCCUCCGCCGAGGAGGGCUACGUCUUCGGUGGCGCCGGCGGCGGCGGCGGGUACGGCGACAGCCAGGCGUCCCCCGAGGUCUAUGGGUUCGGGGUGACGACCCCGGACCCGGAUUACGUCUCGCCCUUCGAGUCGGUGAUGAACGGAGUCGAGGAGGAGGAGGGUGGUGGAGGUGGGUUUGUGUCGGAUGGGCCUCUGUUGCCGCCGCCGAGUGAGAUGGUCGAGGAAGGCGCCGCUCGACGUGAGUGGAGGCGUCAAAACGCCAUACACCUCGAGGAAAAGGAGAAGAGGGAGAAGGAGAUGCGGGAUCAGAUCAUUGCGGAUGCUGAAGAGUAUAAGCGAGCUUUCUACGAGAAAAGGAAGCUCAACUGCGAAACGAACAAGGCUGAUAACAGAGAAAGAGAGAAGCUGCACUUGGCGAACCAAGAGAAGUUCCACAAGGAAGCCGACAAGCAUUACUGGAAAGCCAUAGCCGAGAUCAUCCCUCGAGAGGUUCCGAACAUCGAGAAGAGAGGGAAGAGGGAUGCCGAGAAAAAGCCCUCGGUGGUGGUCGUCCAGGGGCCUAAGCCAGGAAAGCCCACCGAUCUUUCGAGGAUGAGGCAAGUUCUGUUCAAGCUGAAACAGCACCCUCCGCCUCACAUGAUGCCUCCCCCAACGCCACCGCCCGCGAAGGAUGGGAAGGAGAAGGACUCGAAGGAAGGGGGCAAGGACGAAAAGAAUGGUAAAACUCCUGCCGAUGCUACAUCUGGUGAUGCUGCUGGCAGUGCUGCAGAGAAACCGGCGGCAGAGAAGCCGGCAACCCCUCCCAAAGUCGCCUCCGAUGGUGGUGACCCAAACAAAGUAGAGGUUCCUGAAGCCCCUGAGGGAGAAAAGCCUGCUGAACCGGAGGCAGCUGCUGCCAAGUGAUGCGACUUUUCCAGUCUCUUUCUUUUUCGAUUAACUUUCUUUCUCUUCUUUCUGUUAAAUUUAAAUGCUUAGUAGCUGCCUCCGGUAAAGAAUAAGCACAACUUCGUGUAGAUGCCUCAGAGCAGAGUGAAGUGCAGAGCUUUUAAUCCUAACUUGCUCUAGGUUUUCUGAGCGAACAUUACUAUGUCAUGCUGGAUCGGAAAAAUAAAAGUCCUUUCAACUAGCUAGAGUUCAUUGUCAGCGUCAGCACAGUUCCGAUCGAAACUUCCAGUCCCAUGAAGAGUGAUCAAGAUUAGGUAGUAGGAG
Molecule: RNA transcript, 1558 nt
Organism: Rhodamnia argentea
Lineage: Eukaryota; Viridiplantae; Streptophyta; Magnoliopsida; Myrtales; Myrtaceae
Gene name: clathrin light chain 1-like
Exons: 4
Source: RefSeq, a predicted model, not a curated record